Acanthosepion pharaonis is the source of this 95-nucleotide non-coding RNA. The record is from the annotation of a GenBank genome assembly. NCBI's taxonomy places the organism in Eukaryota, Metazoa, Mollusca, Cephalopoda, Sepiida, Sepiidae.
GUUGAAACACCAGUUCCCGUACGAUCAGGGAAGGUAAGCAACUGCGAACCUGGUCAGUACCGAGAUUGGUGACCGCUUGUGAAUACCAGGCGCUG